UGACGGUCUCAAGUAGUAACGGUAAUAACUGU
Molecule: non-coding RNA, 32 nt
Filed under: Homo sapiens (human)
Lineage: Eukaryota; Metazoa; Chordata; Mammalia; Primates; Hominidae
Source: RNAcentral